GGAUGCUGGCUGCUGCCAUUUCCUUUGAGCUGCGUUCCCACCUCAGAGCUUCCUGCUGCUGGGUGCUGCUCUCUUUAGCCACUCAGCCUGGGGAAGCUACCUCGCCCCUCCCACGGUGGAAAACCCCACCUGGGCCCAGCCAUUGGUGCAGUCGGCUACAGGUCGGGGGGAAGUGAUGGACGCCACAGAAUGUCCCAGGCAAGCUUUGAUGGCCUCUCAGCCCCUUCCCUCAGCCACGCAGCCACCAGCUUCGCCCGCACACGUGGCCCCUCCUCCUUACAUGCUCAGUCCCCUCCAACCCCACAGAACACUCCACUUGACCCGGAACCAUGGCCCUCUGUUUUCCUGCCUGCCUGGGGCAUGUGAGAUUUCCAGCGCUGGAAGUUUAGAAGGCAGAUCUAGCGGCUGCGUUUGCUUGGUCAGUUGCAAGGCAUUGCCCGUUUUCUCUCGGAGCAGAGGCGUUUGCCAUCACGUGCUCCACCAUGCCAUGGGCGAGGGCCAACAGGGCUCUCCCUGCGCUCUGUGUCCAGUGUGGACCCUGUGAUUUGCUCUUUCUGAGCCAGGCAGGAUAGAGCUGGCAGCCUCAGCUUCUGAGCUCUGGAGCUCAGCGUGGAGGAAGGGCGCUGCCAUCCUCCAGCAGUCGGCCUGUGAAACAGCUGUGGGAACUUCUCAGAUGUGGUGUCUCCGUCUCUCCUGGCUCCUCGGAACCGAAAGUCCUGCAGCCAAUCCUGAAGAGUGGCUGUGGCCGGGUCCCGGAAACCCUGUGUCCCUGCACCUCACCCUGCUAAGCCUGCACAGGCGGCGUCCUUGGCCACACACAGUCGAGAAUGUAACUGGGGCUGAGGAAAUGAACCCCAGUGUGCGCUGCAGCGGGAACAGUGGCCUUCGCCCAUUCGUGCACCCAGUGCCAUUCCUAGUCCUGAGACCCAUGAACCCCACCGACGAGGUGCAGCUCAUUCUCGGAGACAAAGGCCUUGGAGAGAACAUGGGAGCCUGGAGAGGUGGGCUGUGGUCCAGAGGCACCGUGAGUUGUCCGCGGGAGGUGGGGAGUUGGGGGGGGCCACCGUUAGGUGCCUGCAGGAGGUGGGGUGUGGCCGUGAGUUGCCCACAGGAGGUGGGGUGUUGGGGGGGGCGCCGUGAGUUGCCCGCGGGAAGUGGGGUGUGGCCGGGAGUUGCCCACGGGAGGUGGGGUGUGGCCAGGAGUCACCCUCAUCCCACAGCUGUGCUUUCCUACAGCUCUCGCCCAGCCCAGUGCAAAGUGACUCCAGGUACCACUCCAGGGUCCGGCCCCGAGCUCAGAGGGGGUGGGAGUGGCUUCUCGGCCAAGUCCGAUGGGGAAGCCUGUGGCUGCCGAGGGCACAGCUGCAGUGCCACCCAAACCUGGCCCUCACUGAGGCUUUCACCUGGGUGUGACUUGCCGUCUUGGCUGACCUAUGCCGAGGGAGGGACGCCGAUUUCUCGUUGCUCCCGAAUGAGUUUCUCUUACAAGGGGUGUGUCUUCUGGCUUUGGGAUGAUGUUCCUGCCAUUUUCCAAGGCCUCUGCCUGGUACCCACCUUGCCCAUAUGA
This 1567-nucleotide long non-coding RNA is filed under the name Callithrix jacchus (white-tufted-ear marmoset). Its description in RNAcentral is "lncRNA (ENSCJAG00000072920.1)". The record is from RNAcentral. Lineage: Eukaryota; Metazoa; Chordata; Mammalia; Primates; Cebidae.